Molecule: long non-coding RNA, 3268 nt
Filed under: Citrus x clementina
Lineage: Eukaryota; Viridiplantae; Streptophyta; Magnoliopsida; Sapindales; Rutaceae
Description: Citrus clementina (C. clementina) long non-coding RNA (CCLE_LNC003423)
Source: RNAcentral
AAAAAUCUAACCCACCCCAAAAAAAAAAUAGUGCUAGCUUCACCACUACAUGGAUCUAUUUGUAUUUACUUAAUCAUUAACAAUCAAAUGUACCUUAAUUGGACUAUGAUAAUAAUUUAUUGCCUAUAUAGCCUUUACAUCACCAAUUUUUUUUACCAUUUUUCUUUAUAUAUUUUCAUACACUUUCAUUGAUCAAACUCCAUCAAAAUAAGUCAAAUUCAUACUAUUUAAUAUCUAUACAUGUUUUAUCGCCCAUAAAUUUCUUAGUAAAAAUUAUGUCAUAUAGGCAAUUGCUGUUUCACCGCUGGGAACGAGACAUGAUUAUCAACGACGUCGUAAAUUAUUAGAUAAACUUGUAGUCCAUGGCCAGAAUUAAAAAAAAUUGGUUAUCGUACAUUACAAAAUAUUUGGGGUCUCAUUGGAUAACGAUUGGAGUUAAAUAACUUAUCUCUUCCAAAUAUUUAUCCGAUUGUUCCUGCAACAAGUGGUGAUUUUAGUAUGCAUUUCUUGUCAAAUCAGUUUCGGUUACUUGACGGUUCUUCGCAACGCAGCAAAACCCCAUCAUUUGAAUAAGGACUCGGCUACAUUGCGGAAAACCAGUCUUCUUCUUCUUCCUCAAAAGCCCACUGCUGAUUUGAAAAUAUUGGGGUUACUGACUGGUUUUGAUUUUACUUGCUAGGGUUAUGAUUUUGGAAUAAUGAUAACUAAUUUUCCAAAAGUUUUGGGUUGAUGAACGGUGAUCAAUUUCCAAAAAGGUAAGUAACUUUUUUUUAGGGUAAAUGAACUAAUUUUUAUCAAUUUUAUCUUUUUUAUUUAUGUUGACGAUCCUGUUUAACUUGACAAUUAUUUGGCGGGUUCAUGUCUAUAAAAAUUAAUAUUUUUUUUAUGGAUUUUGCUAAGAAUUUUGAGAAGAAAUUUUAUAAUUGGUAUUCUUGUUUGAUAUUGUGAUGUUGUAAUUUUAUUUACAAUAUCAAUAACAUAAAAAAUAUGUGCCGUUGGACCAUAUUAAUGGUAUGCAUUAUCUCUAUUAAUAAAAAAUUUUAAUUAGUUUUAAAAUAAUAUAGCCAAUUAACAAACCGAUAAAAAGGAUGAUUUUAAAUUUAAAAAUAAAAAUAAAAGGAAAUAUGAUAAAAUAUAAUAUCUCAAGUUCUUUUAUUUAAAAUAAAAUUUUUGACAAAUUCUUUUAUUUGAAAUUAAAUUCUUGACGCAUGAAGUAAGUAAUCUUAAUUAUAUAAUACUUAUCUCUUAAUUAAUUAAUUAUCGCUGUAUUAAAUUAUAUAAAAUAAAUGGCUGAGAUUAAACACUUAAAUCUAAGAGUUUUAUGAAAAUACAUAUAGCAUCACAGAGAAAUCUUUCUUUUUUUUUUUUCUAACUUUUCCCAUCCUGAAUUAAUUUUCUCGAUUCCCCAUUGUCUUUAUGUGUCCAUGGCUCGCGUGGAUAUUUUUAUUUUCUUUUUAUGAAAUAUCUUUCCCACGGACCUUGUUUAUUUCGUCAUCAGAAAGUUCAAAUUGGAACCAUCUAUUAUCGACAUACAUAAAUCUAUUCGUAUUUACUUCAUCGUUAAUAAUGAAAUGUACUUUAAUUGGCCUAUCAUAGUAAUAUAUUGCCUAUGUAAUAUUUAUCCAACUAGAGCCAAUAAAAUUUGAUAAGUCCCGAUUACCAGACAUAAAUAAAUGUGUAUAAAUCAUUAAAUUUAACACAAUUAUUAAAUGAGUCAACUUCAGGUUGACAUGAUUUAUUCGUAUCGAUUUAGGGUUAAAGUUUUUUAUUCAUUUACCUAAUUAAUGACACAAUUAUAUUUUCAUUCAAAAUUAAAUUGUAGGUUUUCAUUAUCAAAACUCAAAUAUUGGAUAUGAUUAUUUUUUUUCUUUUGAAAAAGGUUGAACAUAUUCAUGGUGUUUUGUUUAUAAAAUUUUAUAUAGAUUCAAGAAUCAAUAGUGUAAAUGUGUGUGCGCGCGUGCAAGUGUAAUGAAAUAUAAAUAUUUAAUGUAAAUUUUAUUAAAUAUAUAAAUAUUAAGCAGGUUAUUGAGUAACUUAUUUUUUUUUUCCAUGUCCAGUUAGAAUCUUAAUAUUUUGAUUCGAUUAUUAAAUAAGUUGUACUUAGGUCAGCUUAAAUUUAAUAUAACAUGAAGUUGACGCGACACAAACACUACUUAAUGACCCAUUUUGCCACCUCUAUACUCAACUACGUCUUUACUAUUUACUAUUUUCUUCAGAUCUUUUCAUACACUUUCAUUGAUUAGUCUCGAUUAAAUAAGUACAAUUCUUAGUAGAAAUAUCUUCUCCAUCUUUUAUUUGGGUACACUAGGCUAUACAUAUAUUUUAUUGCCAAUAAAUUAUUAAAUAAGUAUCAUGCCUUUAGUCAAUACCAAUUUUAUCACCGGAACAAAACAAAAUUACUAACUGAGGUGGUCCAUCGCCGGAGAUGAAAAUUGGUUAUUUCUUAUUACGUAACAUUUGGUUCUCAUUAGAUGACAAUCGGGUAAAUAUCUCAUCUUUAACUUAUAUUUACCGUUCGGGGUAAAUCAUCAUUCUCAACUUAGCAAAUGGGCUGUCAGAGCAAGGCCCAAUCUAUCCGAUGGCUUCCCUGACACCGGUUAGCAACAGUACAAUUGGUUUCAACACAAAUGCUCAUAUUACACGUGGCGCCCUCAACAUUCGUUUCUUGUCAAAUCCAUGUCUGUCAGUUACGCUUUUCCGUAACAUAGCUAACCCUCGUCACAAUUAUUAAGCUUUUACCAAACACCCAAUAAUUUUUAAUUUUUUUUUUAUAGCUGUUAAUUUUGUUACGCAUCGAUAAUACACACCUAAGUUUCAAACGCCCCUUAAAACCUAUUGGUUUUAAGAUAGUAUAAAAUAAUAAAAUAUCUAUGUAAUACAUCUAUACAUUUAUUUUGAGAAAAAAAAAUCGAUCGAGUUAGUGGCUCCUAUUAAUGGGAAUAAGGAUAAUGAUUGUGUAUUUAAAAACGUUUGUGAGGUGCAUAAAGUAGCAGAACCAAUUAGUUUAUCGCAGAGUAGUUAUUCAGUUUGAUUUAUUUAAUUAUAAUAAGUAUUUUUUUAAUAUUAAUUACGCAUCAAAUUAUUAUAUUGUACAUAUAUUUAUUUACAAUACUAUUAUAACAGACAUUACAUUGAUAUUUACAAUCAGAUAUACGUAACUAGAACUUACAUUAUUACAUUAAAUUCUAUGAAGUACAUAUUCACAGACGAGAGAUGUUCCUGCUUCACUCGCAUUUCACAGGCGAGAAAAACUUAUAAAUAUUUAGCC